GAGUUUGAUCAUGGCUCAGAUUGAACGCUGGCGGCAUGCCUUACACAUGCAAGUCGAACGGCAGCACGGGAGCUUGCUCCUGGUGGCGAGUGGCGAACGGGUGAGUAAUGCAUCGGAACGUAUCCUGGAGUGGGGGAUAACGUAGCGAAAGUUACGCUAAUACCGCAUAUUCUGUGAGCAGGAAAGCGGGGACCUUCGGGCCUCGCGCUCUUGGAGCGGCCGAUGUCGGAUUAGC
Molecule: ribosomal RNA, 235 nt
Filed under: bacterium enrichment culture clone ALO1_GLFRUDD03GPS6G
Lineage: Bacteria
Description: partial 16S ribosomal RNA
Rfam family: Bacterial small subunit ribosomal RNA
Source: RNAcentral